Brassica napus (rape) is the source of this 1324-nucleotide long non-coding RNA. RefSeq lists it as uncharacterized. NCBI's taxonomy places the organism in Eukaryota, Viridiplantae, Streptophyta, Magnoliopsida, Brassicales, Brassicaceae. The record is from RefSeq and is a predicted model, not a curated record. The transcript is spliced from 2 exons.
CUUAUUUUUCAUUUAUUUAAUGGGGAAUUGCCACUAAUACCACUUUCCUAAUACCACUUUUCAACUUUACACUUUUCAAAUUUACCAUUAAAAUUUUAAUGGCUAAAGUACCAUAAUAUCACUCAUUUCAUUAAUUUAACCUAGAUCUAUUCUUCUCCAAAUGUCUGUCACGAGAUGAAACUGAGAUCAAAUUGAGACGAGCUCCAACGAGAUCUCCGGCAAACUCGGCGAUCUCCGGCGAAUUCGGCGAUCUCCGGCGAACUUGGCGAUCUCCGGUGAACUCGACGAUCUCCGACGAACUCGACCGGAUUGGGAGAGCGUGGCGGCGAGUGGACAUCCCGCCGUUCCUCCGCCGGCAUUAUGUAGUCGUAGUAAUCCUCCGAUGCUAAAUCGGUCACGUUCGUCACGAAUCGCAUGCCGAGAAGUUCUCCGGCAAAGCUGACAGACUCGACAAGCUCAGACGAACGAGACGAUCUCUCAACGCCUAAGAAACACUAACAAAGAGAAUUACAAAUGUGUGUUGUCAGCUUUUGGAUUUAAAGGAUGUUGUGGAGAAUAUGUGUGGUGAUAUGCAUAUCUAAGUAUCUCACUUCCUUAAGGUAAUACAAUGCUACUAUUUGUAGUUUGACUAGCAAUGUUUUAGUAUGUGCAGUAUAUGAGGUGGAACGUUGGUGUUUUGGUAGUGUAACGUUCUAUUUAUACUUUGUGAGUUUAUUUUUUAUGUCUUGUUUUGUGUAUAAUAUCUACAGAAGCAGUGGAGAUGAAUGAUGAGUUUGUUGAGUUACGAAAGCAUACUAUUUUUGAAUCUUAUUUUUGGAAGUGAAUGCUGAUGCGUAGAAAUAAUAUGUGACUGGCUUUUGUUCAGAUUUUGAAAAUUUACGAGGUUGGUGAGCUGUUUGAAGAGGCAAGAGAGACUCUGAAGAAGAAUGUGGUUUGUGCUAUCAAAGAAUUACGUAUUUAUAACGCUUUAUAAAAGUUGCAGAGUUGGCUUCUUAGUACAUUCUUCUCUCUCAUCUUAUUUAGACAUCUCUUAUACUAAAACAAUUGUAUCUCUCUUUUAGUAGUUACAUAGUUGAAGAUAUUAGUUGGACAUGUAAGUGAGUUUGGUUUCAAUUGUUUCUUUUAUAGAAGAGUGAGAUAUGGAGAAGCCUUGAUGUUCUCAGACUAUGUUAAAGCAAUAUAUCCCUUGUUGAAGGACGUGGCUCUUUCACCAGAUAUGUCUUUUUUGUGUUGAUUGUCUUUUGGAGGGAUUUUAGAAAAAUUACCUUAUAAGCCAUUGUAAAUAAAUUUAUAAACGCUUAUAAAUCACUUUGAGUUUCUUACA